AGAACUGUGUUUGGACAUCAGU
Molecule: microRNA, 22 nt
Filed under: Euprymna scolopes
Lineage: Eukaryota; Metazoa; Mollusca; Cephalopoda; Sepiida; Sepiolidae
Also listed under: 3 other names
Description: Esc-Mir-219_3p (mature (guide))
Source: RNAcentral